UUUUCAGAUGGGAUUCUAAGA
RNAcentral lists this non-coding RNA (21 nucleotides) under Rattus norvegicus (Norway rat). Lineage: Eukaryota; Metazoa; Chordata; Mammalia; Rodentia; Muridae. The record is from RNAcentral.